GUUAGAACUGUAUAUGAUGUGUAAAGGGUUGAAGGUUUUAAACUCAGUCUCUCAACGGAUGAGAUUUAGAAGGAAGAAUUGGUGGACUACAGGAUAUUGUGCCUUUAGAAGCUUGCUACAUUUAAAAUUGAUUAAAUAAUUGUUAAGGGAUUAACAAAAGGGAACAUUUUAAUUGUAUAUGUCCACAUUUCUGUGUAUGUGACAAAAUUUGUGAAACUGUCCUAUUAUAAUUUCCUGUUAUUGGGAGUAUAAUCCUGUGUUGCAAACCCAAAAGGGAACUGAGUCACGCCAAAUAACAGGAACUAUAAGGAUAUGUGCUUACCACCCAAUGCUUCGGAAUUCAGACUGUCUACACUGCACUGUGUAACUGUUAUUCUCUCUGAGCUCAGAAAUAAUCUUGGUUUGACUUGGACUCCAGCCGAUCCUCAUUUUUAUAUAUCCACCACACAUCCCUACGGUGAAGCAUGGUGGCAGCAUCAUGCUGUGGGGAUGUUUUUCAACGUAGGAGUGGCUUCGGGACAAGUCUCUGAAUGUCCUUAAGUGGGCCAGCCAGAGCCCAGACUUGAACCCGAUCAAACAUCUCUGGAGAGACCUGAAAAUAGCUGUGCAGCGACGCUCCUCAUCCAACCUGACAGAGCUUGAGAGGAUCUUCAGAGAAGAAUGGGAGAAACUUGUCAAGCUUGUAGCGUGAUACCCAGAAGACUCGAGGCUGUUAUCGCAGCCAAAGGUGCUUCAACAAAGUACUGAUUAAAGAGUCUGAAUACUUAUACUCAGGGAUUGAACCCCUGCUACUAGGAUUACAUCCUGAGUCUGGAUCACUACACUACCACUAGACCAAACUCAAACUAGUCAUGGAACAGAUAAAGUCAUUAUUUUACAGUUCAACCUGACCAGAGGUCCACAUGAAGGAGAAGCAAGGGACCAGUCCAGUGUGAAGACAACCCCUCAGGUGAUCCUGGAGAGGUGGUCUAUGACAAAGACACAUUUCCCAUCGGACAUCGGCCUCUUGCAAAGCAGGCAACAGAUGGCACACAGACAGCAGAGCUGGGGACAGAUAUGCAGGGACAGACUGGCAGAGACAGGGAGUCUCAGGGUCCAGUCCAGUGUGAAGACAACCCCUCAGGUGAUCCUGGAGAGGUGGUCUAUGACAGACACAUUCCCAUUGGACAUCGGCGUCCUGUGAUUCUCCUAGAUCUGUCCGCUGCCUUAGACACCGUGAACCAUCAGAUCCUCUCACGGUUAGGUGCCUCAGGCUCUGCACACUGUUGGAUUGCAGAUUGUAAAUUAAACAAAUAUUUUUUCUAAAAUAAAGAUUAUAUUAUUGA
Long non-coding RNA from Salmo salar (Atlantic salmon), 1325 nucleotides. RefSeq lists it as uncharacterized. The record is from RefSeq and is a predicted model, not a curated record. Lineage: Eukaryota; Metazoa; Chordata; Actinopteri; Salmoniformes; Salmonidae.